Molecule: long non-coding RNA, 473 nt
Filed under: Coffea arabica (coffee)
Lineage: Eukaryota; Viridiplantae; Streptophyta; Magnoliopsida; Gentianales; Rubiaceae
Description: long non-coding RNA (CARA_LNC002918)
Source: RNAcentral
GCCAACUUCUUCUUCCAAUUGAAAGCUUCCAUUUCCUAAUUUUGCAAGGUGAGCUCUUUGCUUUAUUUUGCCUUUUCGUGAUUUUGUCCUUGUAAAGAAAGGCCUAAUGAGUCAGAGCGUUCAAAUCAGCGCAAUGGUUCACUGAAGGAUGUUAAUGAAAAUGUUAUUAAUUCUUGAUAGCAUAUUGGAGGCACAAACGUUAUUAUUUAUUUAUUUAUUAAUUGUGUUUGUGCUAAUAAUUUAGUUGGUUAUGCAUUCUUAUUGAAACCUUUUUACAUAUGUAUAGUUGAGCUUUUUCUAAAUGGGUCGCCGAUGAAAAUAUGCAAGCUUAGAAGAAGCGUAUGAAGAAAGGAUUAGAAAGAGACGUGAGCAACGAGCCAGUCCGAGUGCUAAGCAUGACUGUGGUAGAUAUCAAGGUGUAUGUAUUAUGGCUAUAAGUGCAUUUAACAUAUGCGAAUCGAGCAUGACGAGGA